Molecule: ribosomal RNA, 496 nt
Filed under: uncultured bacterium
Lineage: Bacteria
Description: partial 16S ribosomal RNA
Rfam family: Bacterial small subunit ribosomal RNA
Source: RNAcentral
AUGAACGCUGGCGGCGUGCCUCAUCCAUGCCAGUCGAGCGAACAGACGAGGAGCUUGCUCCUCUGACGUUAGCGGCGGACGGGUGAGUAACACGUGGAUAACCUACCUAUAAGACUGGGAUAACUUCGGGAAACCGGAGCUAAUACCGGAUAAUAUAUUGAACCGCAUGGUUCAAUAGUGAAAGACGGUUUUGCUGUCACUUAUAGAUGGAUCCGCGCCGCAUUAGCUAGUUGGUAAGGUAACGGCUUACCAAGGCGACGAUGCGUAGCCGACCUGAGAGGGUGAUCGGCCACACUGGAACUGAGACACGGUCCAGACUCCUACGGGAGGCAGCAGUAGGGAAUCUUCCGCAAUGGGCGAAAGCUUGACGGAGCAACGCCGCGUGAGUGAUGAAGGUCUUCGGAUCGUAAAACUCUGUUAUUAGGGAAGAACAAAUGUGUAAGUAACUAUGCACGUCUUGACGGUACCUAAUCAGAAAGCCACGGCUAACUACGUG